Molecule: ribosomal RNA, 253 nt
Filed under: uncultured bacterium
Lineage: Bacteria
Description: partial 16S ribosomal RNA
Rfam family: Bacterial small subunit ribosomal RNA
Source: RNAcentral
UACGGAGGGUCCAAACGUUAUCCGGAAUCACUGGGCGUAAAGCGCACGUAGGCGGAUCGUAAAGUCAGAGGUGAAAUCCCAGGGCUCAACCUUGGAACUGCCUUUGAAACUUCCGGUCUUGAGUUCGAGAGAGGUGAGUGGAAUUCCGAGUGUAGAGGUGAAAUUCGUAGAUAUUCGGAGGAACACCAGUGGCGAAGGCGGCUCACUGGCUCGAUACUGACGCUGAGGUGCGAAAGCGUGGGGAGCAAACAGG